RNAcentral lists this ribosomal RNA (2001 nucleotides) under Triticum aestivum (bread wheat). RNAcentral's name for it is "partial small subunit ribosomal RNA". Lineage: Eukaryota; Viridiplantae; Streptophyta; Magnoliopsida; Poales; Poaceae. The record is from RNAcentral.
AUGGGGAUCUUCGACCUGCUCGACCUGGCCGACGGCGCCUCGGGGGACGAGGCCGUCGCGCGCGUCGUCAAGAAGGUCGUCCCGCCCGACGACCCCGACAAGGCCUCCAAGGCCUCCAGGAAGGCCGCCGCCAAGGACGCCGCCGCCAACGCCGCCGCCCCCAAGGACGACGCCCAGCACGACCAGCACCACCACUACCCCCAAGAGGGUGGGCAUUACCAAAGGGAGGGCAACUUUGGUGGAGGCCGGGGCAGAGGCCAAGGCUACUAUGGUGGUGGUGGUGGUGGCAGAGGAGGCCGUGGAAGGGGGCGUGGCGCCGGAUCCAAUCGUGUCUUUGAGGAUGCCAACGGUCGUUUCUAUAAUGAUGGCUAUCAACGUGUCUACCUCACCAACGACCGUCCAUACUAUGCCAAUGGCAAUGGCAACCGUGACUACAACAACAACAACGGCAACGGCAACGGCAAUGGCGGUGAGGGCCAGAGGUACGGCAAUGAUGACAGGCAGUACAGGAGGGACAACAUGCACUACGUUCCUAAGAGCAAGCCAUCCUCUGUGGCUGCUUCUGAUGUUGAUACCAAGUCUGAAGGCAAGGUGGAGCCUGCUGCUGAGGAAAAGCAGGCCCAAGCCCCUGCUCAGAAUGUUGUUGAAGCCGUCCCUGCUUCUGAAUCUGACAAGUCUACUGGGGAUGUGCAAAAAGAUGAUUCUAAGAAGGAAGAGGGAGAGGGUGCCGAAAAGAAGGCAGAGGGAGAAGGCGCGGAUAAGAAGGAGGGAGAUGGUGCCGAGAAGAAGGAGAAGACCAAUAAGGGCAAGUGUGUCAGUGGCUCUGUCAAGAGGAAGCUCAAGAAGCAAAAGCCUAAGAAGGAAGACUCUAAUGGGGAUGCUCCUAUUGAGACCACUGCUAAGAAAGAGCAGGAGGCUCCCAUUGAACAAGAGAAAAUUGAGAUGACCCUUGAAGAAUAUGAGAAGAUGCAAGAAAAGAAGAAGUCUCUGGAGGCCUCUAAACCUGAGGAGAGGAGGGUUGCUGCUGUAGAUUUUGAGGGUCUCCAGCUCUUGGAGAAGAAGAAGAUUGAGGAUGAUGCUAAAUCAAAGGCAGAAAAUGUUCGCAAGGCAAAGGAGGCUGCUGCAAAGGAAGCUAAACCUCGCAAGGUGAGCAUCCAGGAGUACCUGAAGAAUGAAGAUGGUUCAGAGUACGUACCUCCAACACCACCUAGGCGCCCUCCAUAUGGAGGCGGCUACAGGGGAGGCCGUGGGAACGGUUCUUACAAUGGCCGCAGCAGCCGUGACAACAGCUCUGAGCGCCGGGUCUACAACUCUGGCCGCGGCGAGAGCGCCAUCGUGUUCCACAACGUCGAGGCCAACGCCAACGACAGUGGCGCCCCAAGGAGGGGUGAGGGCUACAAUGGCGAGCGCCGGCAAGGCAGCUACCAGCAAGGUGGGUACAAUGGCGGCAGGGGCAACGGCAGGUACCAGGAGCGCCAGGACGGGUACAAUGGCGAGCGCCGGGACCAGCAGCAGGGUGGCUACUACCAGGAGCGCAAUGGUGACCGCCGGGAGCAAGGCGGGUACAACAAUGGUGGUGGCCGGGGCAAUGGCGGUUACCAGGAGCGCAGGGAUGGCUACAAUGGUGACAACCGCCGGCAGCAAGGCGGGUACAACAAUGGUGGUGGCCGGGGCAAUGGUGGUUACCAGGAGCAAGGCGGGAACAAUGGUGGCCGUGGCCAGGAGCGCCAGGAUGCCUACAAUGGCGAGCGCAGGCAGCAAGGCGGGUACAACAAUGGCGGUGGCCGGGGCAAUGGUGGUAACCAGGAAGGCCAGGACGGUGGCGAGCGCCGGCAGCAAGGCGGGUACAACAAUGGCGGCCGGUACCAGCAGGGCGGCAACUACAGGCAGUGGCAGGGUCCCAGGCCAAAGCAGGACAAGGAGUUCACACCGGCCGACUUCCCAGCUCUAGGUGGCGCAUCUCAGGCGCAGUCGCAGGCCCAGGCCCAGGCCCAGGCCUAG